GGGCCUGUAGCUCAGUUGGUUAGAGCACCACUCUUAUAAAGUGGGGGUCAUGGGUUCAAGUCCCAUCAGGCCUACCA
This 77-nucleotide transfer RNA is filed under the name Candidatus Falkowbacteria bacterium RIFOXYA2_FULL_35_8. RNAcentral describes it as "tRNA-Ile". It matches the Rfam family "tRNA". Rfam says of the family: Transfer RNA (tRNA) molecules are approximately 80 nucleotides in length. Their secondary structure includes four short double-helical elements and three loops (D, anti-codon, and T loops). The record is from RNAcentral. RNAcentral also lists the same sequence under 3 other names. Lineage: Bacteria; Candidatus Falkowiibacteriota.